CUGAAGCCGGUAGAUAACACAUGGGUU
RNAcentral lists this non-coding RNA (27 nucleotides) under Mus musculus (house mouse). Lineage: Eukaryota; Metazoa; Chordata; Mammalia; Rodentia; Muridae. The record is from RNAcentral.